This 468-nucleotide ribosomal RNA is filed under the name uncultured bacterium. RNAcentral describes it as "partial 16S ribosomal RNA". It matches the Rfam family "Bacterial small subunit ribosomal RNA", at positions 28 to 507 of the family's 1533-position model. The record is from RNAcentral.
GACGAACGCUGGCGGCGUGCUUAACACAUGCAAGUCGAACGGAAAGGCCCUGCGUUUGUGGGGUUCUCGAGUGGCGAAGGGGUGAGUAACACGUGAGUAACCUGCCCUUGUCUUUGGGAUAACUUCAGGAAACUGGGGCUAAUACCGGAUAGGAGCCCCUGCUGCAGGGUGGGGGGUGGAAAGUUUCGGCGGUUGGGGAUGGACUCGCGGCUUAUCAGCUUGUUGGUGGGGGAGCGGCUUACCCAGGCUUUGACGGGUAGCCGGCCGGUGUGCGUGACCGGCCACAAUGGGACUGGGAUACGGCCCAGUGUCCUACGGGAGGCCAUAGUGGGGACUAUUGCCCAGUGGGCGCAAGCGUGAGGCGACAACCCCGCGUUCGUGAUGACGGCUUUCGGGUUGUAAACCGCUUUAGCCUGUGACGAAGCGUGAGUGACGGUACCGGGUAAAGAAGCACCGGCUAACUACGUG